GAUGAACGCUGGCGGCGUGCCUAAUACAUGCAAGUCGAGCGAACAGACGAGGAGCUUGCUCCUCUGACGUUAGCGGCGGACGGGUGAGUAACACGUGGAUAACCUACCUAUAAGACUGGGAUAACUUCGGGAAACCGGAGCUAAUACCGGAUAAUAUAUUGAACCGCAUGGUUCAAUAGUGAAAGACGGUUUUGCUGUCACUUAUAGAUGGAUCCGCGCCGCAUUAGCUAGUUGGUAAGGUAACGGCUUACCAAGGCAACGAUGCGUAGCCGACCUGAGAGGGUGGUCGGCCACACGGGAACUGAGACACGGUCCAGACUCCUACGGGAGGCAGCAGUAGGGAAUCUUCCGCAAUGGGCGAAAGCCUGGCGGAGCAACGCCGCGUGAGUGAUGAAGGUCUUCGGAUCGUAAAACUCUGUUAUUAGGGAAGAACAAAUGUGUAAGUAACUAUGCACGUCUUGACGGUACCUAAUCAGAAAGCCACGGCUAACUACGUG
This 497-nucleotide ribosomal RNA is filed under the name uncultured bacterium. Its description in RNAcentral is "partial 16S ribosomal RNA". It matches the Rfam family "Bacterial small subunit ribosomal RNA", at positions 28 to 507 of the family's 1533-position model. The record is from RNAcentral.